AAAAUCCGUCGACUUUAAAAAUCGUGAAAGUCCCUCUAUCCCC
Molecule: transfer RNA, 43 nt
Filed under: Strobilanthes urens
Lineage: Eukaryota; Viridiplantae; Streptophyta; Magnoliopsida; Lamiales; Acanthaceae
Description: Hemigraphis urens partial tRNA-Leu
Source: RNAcentral